This is a small nucleolar RNA of Capra hircus (goat), 128 nucleotides long. Lineage: Eukaryota; Metazoa; Chordata; Mammalia; Artiodactyla; Bovidae. The record is from Ensembl.
AAGCACAUUUCAUUAUCUUUUUCUUUAUAUUAAGAGAAAAUAUAUUUCUGAUGUGCUAAAUAAACCCCUGGAGGUAAAUUAGCGGCAUGACUAAUUUAGCCAUUUCUGUCAGUCUCCUUCAGACAACC